GAUGUACGCUGGCGGCGUGCCUAAUACAUGCAAGUCGAGCGAACGGACGAGAAGCUUGCUUCUCUGAUGUUAGCGGCGGACGGGUGAGUAACACGUGGAUAACCUACCUAUAAGACUGGGAUAACUCCGGGAAACCGGAGCUAAUACCGGAUAAUAUUUUGAACCGCAUGGUUCAAAAGUGAAAGACGGUCUUGCUGUCACUUAUAGAUGGAUCCGCGCUGCAUUAGCUAGUUGGUAAGGUAACGGCUUACCAAGGCAACGAUGCAUAGCCGACCUGAGAGGGUGAUCGGCCACACUGGAACUGAGACACGGUCCAGACUCCUACGGGAGGCAGCAGUAGGGAAUCUUCCGCAAUGGGCGAAAGCCUGACGGAGCAACGCCGCGUGAGUGAUGAAGGUCUUCGGAUCGUAAAACUCUGUUAUUAGGGAAGAACAUAUGUGUAAGUAACUGUGCACAUCUUGACGGUACCUAAUCAGAAAGCCACGGCUAACUACGUG
Molecule: ribosomal RNA, 497 nt
Filed under: uncultured bacterium
Lineage: Bacteria
Description: partial 16S ribosomal RNA
Rfam family: Bacterial small subunit ribosomal RNA
Source: RNAcentral